This 492-nucleotide ribosomal RNA is filed under the name uncultured bacterium. RNAcentral describes it as "partial 16S ribosomal RNA". It matches the Rfam family "Bacterial small subunit ribosomal RNA", at positions 29 to 507 of the family's 1533-position model. The record is from RNAcentral.
AGUGAACGCUGGCGGUAGGCCUAACACAUGCAAGUCGAACGGCAGCACAGUAAGAGCUUGCUCUUACGGGUGGCGGGUGGCGGACGGGUGAGGAAUACAUCGGAAUCUACUUUUUCGUGGGGGAUAACGUAGGGAAACUUACGCUAAUACCGCAUACGACCUACGGGUGAAAGCAGGGGAUCUUCGCACCUUGCGCGAUUGAAUGAGCCGAUUUCGGAUUAGCUAGUUGGCGGGGUAAAGGCCCACCAAGGCGACGAUCCGUAGCUGGUCUGAGAGGAUGAUCAGCCACACUGGAACUGAGACACGGUCCAGACUCCUACGGGAGGCAGCAGUGGGGAAUAUUGGACAAUGGGCGCAAGCCUGAUCCAGCCAUACCGCGUGGGUGAAGAAGGCCUUCGGUUUGUAAAGCCCUUUUGUUGGGAAAGAAAAGCAGCAGGUUAAUACGCCGCUGUUCUGACGGUACCCAAAGAAUAAGCACCGGCUAACUUCGUG